UGGGGAAUUUUGGACAAUGGGGGAAACCCUGACCCAGCAACGCCGCGUGAAGGAUGAAGUAUUUCGGUAUGUAAACUUCGAAAGAAUAGGAAGAAUAAAUGACGGUACUAUUUAUAAGGUCCGGCUAACUACGUGCCAGCAGCCGCGGUAAUACGUAGGGACCAAGCGUUGUUCGGAUUUACUGGGCGUAAAGGGCGCGUAGGCGGCAUGACAAGUCACUUGUGAAAUCUCUGGGCUUAACCCAGAACGGCCAAGUGAUACUGUCGCGCUAGAGUGCAGAAGGGGCAAUCGGAAUUCUUGGUGUAGCGGUGAAAUGCGUAGAUAUCAAGAGGAACACCUGAGGUGAAGACGGGUUGCUGGGCUGACACUGACGCUGAGGCGCGAAAGCCAGGGGAGCAAACGGGAUUAGAUACCCCUGUAGUCCCUGAGCGGGCUGGCAAGGCGCAU
Molecule: ribosomal RNA, 447 nt
Filed under: uncultured bacterium
Lineage: Bacteria
Description: bacterial SSU rRNA
Rfam family: Bacterial small subunit ribosomal RNA
Source: RNAcentral